UCAGACGUGCCCUCCUUGGAAGCUGGUUUCAGAUGGUGGCUUAGAGUGCUGUCAUCUAUCUAGCACCAUUUGAAAUCAGUGUUCUUGGGGUGGGAAGUGUGG
Molecule: microRNA precursor, 102 nt
Organism: Oryzias javanicus (javanese ricefish)
Lineage: Eukaryota; Metazoa; Chordata; Actinopteri; Beloniformes; Adrianichthyidae
Source: Ensembl